This 497-nucleotide ribosomal RNA is filed under the name uncultured bacterium. RNAcentral describes it as "partial 16S ribosomal RNA". It matches the Rfam family "Bacterial small subunit ribosomal RNA", at positions 28 to 507 of the family's 1533-position model. The record is from RNAcentral.
GAUGAACGCUGGCGGCGUGCCUAAUACAUGCAAGUCGAGCGAACAGACGAGGAGCUUGCUCCUUUGACGUUAGCGGCGGACGGGUGAGUAACACGUGGGUAACCUACCUAUAAGACUGGGAUAACUCCGGGAAACCGGGGCUAAUGCCGGAUAACAUUUUGAACCGCAUGGUUCUAUAGUGAAAGAUGGUUUUGCUGUCACUUAUAGAUGGAUCCGCGCCGUAUUAGCUAGUUGGUAAGGUAACGGCUUACCAAGGCAACGAUACGUAGCCGACCUGAGAGGGUGAUCGGCCACACUGGAACUGAGACACGGUCCAGACUCCUACGGGAGGCAGCAGUAGGGAAUCUUCCGCAAUGGGCGAAAGCCUGACGGAGCAACGCCGCGUGAGUGAUGAAGGUCUUCGGAUCGUAAAACUCUGUUAUUAGGGAAGAACAAAUGUGUAAGUAACUGUGCACGUCUUGACGGUACCUAAUCAGAAAGCCACGGCUAACUACGUG